Phalacrocorax carbo (great cormorant) is the source of this 1054-nucleotide non-coding RNA. NCBI's taxonomy places the organism in Eukaryota, Metazoa, Chordata, Aves, Suliformes, Phalacrocoracidae. The record is from RefSeq and is a predicted model, not a curated record.
AAAUGCCUACGCCUAUUCCCGGAAGCCAACUACGCCGUAAAUUAGCUUGGCGAAGCAGUGCUCUGCGCGGCAGGCAGGCUACGAAAGAUGGUGUGUUUCACUGGUUUCUCCAAGACAGUCUAUGAUCUUCUCUCUCCUUAUGGCAAAAAUUACCUCGAUGUCAGGACCCUGACAAUGAUGGAAUGAGAAAUCAUGUCUUCACAUCAUGCUUUAUAUCAGUCAGAAAAAUAAUUACAGUCAAACAUUAAUUUAAAAAUACUUGAAGAGAUCUUAAAAACCCCUUUACUUCAAAUACCGAAGGAAGAAAAACAAGUAAUGCAAAAGGCAUUACAAUUGUAUUACAUCUUCUCCAUUAAAAAUAUCCUCCUGAAAUGCACAUAACCCUGCACUUCAUACACAGCUGAACAGGUCAUGGGAUUGUUCUCCCACUCCCCAUCCUUAGGUAACUGGCAUCUCACAGCAGAAAAAAGAGGCAGACCCAGACCUGUGCCUUCCUGCGGGCUACAAGGCAAAAUGGAGAAAUUAUACUGCACCCUACUACAAGCUUUAGGGAUGAAAAAAAUCCUCCUGUAUAGUGGAAAGUCCUCCUGUUGCAGCUACGUUGGCACACCAAAGACCCAGAGGAUUUCAGCCACGGCUGCCUGCAAUGAACGAGAUAAAAGGGUGGAAGUCUGAGACAACAGAGCAAAUCCAUGAAGAAACAAAGAGAUUUGUGGGGAAACACAAACACUUUUGUGCCACCUCAGGUGCCCCAACCCUGCUGUUACCGCCUUGGGACCUCUUCAUUAGGAUAAGUGAGGAAGAGCUGCGUGCUGUGCUCCAUUUAACACAUAGAGACUGUCGGUGUGACAGGGACCAGGCCCCAGCACAUAGCAUUGGGUUUAAUGAGCUGGCUUUGAACUGGCAGAAGGACCUCAGCUGACUUGACUGGAGCAGAGUUUGGGCCCCUGCCCCUGGGGCAGCAGGCAAUCUGACCUGCCCCGAGGGGCGCCAUGGUGGAAUUUCACAUCUAUUGACUCAGAGGAAAAUAAAUGAUUAAUCAUGUAUCAACACA